AUUAAAUAGCUUAUAGAUUAAAGCAUUUGUUUUGAAAACUUAAAAAAGAAAUAUAUUUCUAUUAAUUUU
RNAcentral lists this transfer RNA (69 nucleotides) under Gunungiella wangi. RNAcentral describes it as "tRNA-Ser". Lineage: Eukaryota; Metazoa; Arthropoda; Insecta; Trichoptera; Philopotamidae. The record is from RNAcentral.